CCCAGACUCCUACGGGAGGCAGCAGUGGGGAAUAUUGCACAAUGGGGGAAACCCUGAUGCAGCGACGCCGCGUGAAGGAUGAAGUAUUUCGGUAUGUAAACUUCUAUCAGCAGGGAAGAAAAUGACGGUACCUGAGUAAGAAGCCCCGGCUAACUACGUGCCAGCAGCCGCGGUAAUACGUAGGGGGCAAGCGUUAUCCGGAUUUACUGGGUGUAAAGGGAGCGUAGACGGCAGUGCAAGUCUGGAGUGAAAGGCGGGGGCUCAACCCCCGGACUGCUCUGGAAACUGUACGGCUGGAGUGCAGGAGAGGUAAGUGGAAUUCCUAGUGUAGCGGUGAAAUGCGUAGAUAUUAGGAGGAACACCAGUGGCGAAGGCGGCUUACUGGACUGUAACUGACGCUGAGGCACGAAAGUGUGGGGAGCAAACAGGAUUAGAUACCCCCGUAU
This 446-nucleotide ribosomal RNA is filed under the name uncultured bacterium. RNAcentral's name for it is "bacterial SSU rRNA". It matches the Rfam family "Bacterial small subunit ribosomal RNA", at positions 330 to 793 of the family's 1533-position model. The record is from RNAcentral.